RNAcentral lists this non-coding RNA (25 nucleotides) under Rattus norvegicus (Norway rat). Lineage: Eukaryota; Metazoa; Chordata; Mammalia; Rodentia; Muridae. The record is from RNAcentral.
UGGAUUCGAUGUGUGAGCCUCUGUU